GGAAAGGCGCGCGAUACAGGGUGACAGCCCCGUACACAAAAAUGCACAUGCUGUGAGCUCGAUGAGUAGGGCGGGACACGUGGUAUCCUGUCUGAAUAUGGGGGGACCAUCCUCCAAGGCUAAAUACUCCUGACUGACCGAUAGUGAACCAGUACCGUGAGGGAAAGGCGAAAAGAACCCCGGCGAGGGGAGUGAAAAAGAACCUGAAACCGUGUACGUACAAGCAGUGGGAGCACGCUUAGGCGUGUGACUGCGUACCUUUUGUAUAAUGGGUCAGCGACUUAUAUUCUGUAGCAAGGUUAACCGAAUAGGGGAGCCGAAGGGAAACCGAGUCUUAACUGGGCGUUAAGUUGCAGGGUAUAGACCCGAAACCCGGUGAUCUAGCCAUGGGCAGGUUGAAGGUUGGGUAACACUAACUGGAGGACCGAACCGACUAAUGUUGAAAAAUUAGCGGAUGACUUGUGGCUGGGGGUGAAAGGCCAAUCAAACCGGGAGAUAGCUGGUUCUCCCCGAAAGCUAUUUAGGUAGCGCCUCGUGAAUUCAUCUCCGGGGGUAGAGCACUGUUUCGGCAAGGGGGUCAUCCCGACUUACCAACCCGAUGCAAACUGCGAAUACCGGAGAAUGUUAUCACGGGAGACACACGGCGGGUGCUAACGUCCGUCGUGAAGAGGGAAACAACCCAGACCGCCAGCUAAGGUCCCAAAGUCAUGGUUAAGUGGGAAACGAUGUGGGAAGGCCCAGACAGCCAGGAUGUUGGCUUAGAAGCAGCCAUCAUUUAAAGAAAGCGUAAUAGCUCACUGGUCGAGUCGGCCUGCGCGGAAGAUGUAACGGGGCUAAACCAUGCACCGAAGCUGCGGCAGCGACGCUGAUGCGUUGUUGGGUAGGGGAGCGUUCUGUAAGCCUGCGAAGGUGUGCUGUGAGGCAUGCUGGAGGUAUCAGAAGUGCGAAUGCUGACAUAAGUAACGAUAAAGCGGGUGAAAAGCCCGCUCGCCGGAAGACCAAGGGUUCCUGUCCAACGUUAAUCGGGGCAGGGUGAGUCGACCCCUAAGGCGAGGCCGAAAGGCGUAGUCGAUGGGAAACAGGUUAAUAUUCCUGUACUUGGUGUUACUGCGAAGGG
Molecule: ribosomal RNA, 1117 nt
Filed under: Escherichia coli
Lineage: Bacteria; Pseudomonadati; Pseudomonadota; Gammaproteobacteria; Enterobacterales; Enterobacteriaceae
Description: partial 23S ribosomal RNA
Rfam family: Bacterial large subunit ribosomal RNA
Source: RNAcentral